UACAGAGGGUGCAAGCGUUAAUCGGAAUUACUGGGCGUAAAGCGUGCGUAGACGGUUAUGUAAGUCGGGUGUGAAAGCCCCGGGCUCAACCUGGGAAUGCCAUUCGAGACUGCGUAGCUAGGGUGCGGAAGAGGGAAGCGGAAUUUCCGGUGUAGCGGUGAAAUGCGUAGAUAUCGGAAGGAACACCAGUGGCGAAAGCAGCUUCCUGGUCCAGCACCGACGUUCAGGCACGAAAGCGUGGGGAGCAAACAGG
This 253-nucleotide ribosomal RNA is filed under the name uncultured bacterium. Its description in RNAcentral is "partial 16S ribosomal RNA". It matches the Rfam family "Bacterial small subunit ribosomal RNA", at positions 524 to 776 of the family's 1533-position model. The record is from RNAcentral.